UGAGGAUCCUGGCUGCACUUCAGGCCCCAGAGCCGAGUCUUCUGUGAUCCCAGUAAGGAAGAAGAAUGGAGAAACUCCUGGAAGUGUCUUUGAUGAUUCUAUGGCUUCAACUGGCCAGGGUGAACAGCCAACAGGAACAGGAUCAUCAGACCUUAAGUAUCCAGGAGGGUGAAAACACCACCAUGAACUGCAGUUAUAAAACUAGUAUAAACUACUUACAGUGGUAUAAACAAGACUCGGGUAGAGGCCUUGUCCUACUGAUUUUAAUACGUUUAAAUGAAAGAGAGAAAAACAGUGGAAGACUACGAGUCACGCUGAACACCUCCCUCAAAAGCAGUUCAUUGUCCAUCACGGCUUCCCAGACAGCAGACACUGCCACAUACUUCUGUGCAACGGACGCACAGUGUUCACCAAGCACCUGCAGCCUCUCCACAAACUCCCCCAGAGCUGCCUCUUAGCAGCCCUAUAGUGGGUAGCAUUAGUGGUUAUGUCUUCCCAAGAAGGAGAGUCUACAAAGAGCAGACAAGAUGCAAGGUGAACCCUCUCACAUUCAUGAUUUUUUGGGAGGGAAACAUUUUGUACCAGGGCAAAGGGUAUGAACUUUAGAAUGAGAAACUGAAAUGCCAGGUUCAGAUCUGCCAAUCCAGGCUAUAUGGCUUUGGGCACAUCAUCGGCGUAGCAGCCUUCAAUUUCCUUUACUUGAAAA
Leopardus geoffroyi (Geoffroy's cat) is the source of this 706-nucleotide non-coding RNA. The record is from the annotation of a RefSeq genome assembly. NCBI's taxonomy places the organism in Eukaryota, Metazoa, Chordata, Mammalia, Carnivora, Felidae.